This 389-nucleotide ribosomal RNA is filed under the name uncultured bacterium. RNAcentral's name for it is "bacterial SSU rRNA". It matches the Rfam family "Bacterial small subunit ribosomal RNA", at positions 28 to 414 of the family's 1533-position model. The record is from RNAcentral.
GACGAACGCUGGCGGCGUGCUUAAUACAUGCAAGUCGACUGAACUUAAGGUAGCAAUAUUUUAAGGGAGGUGGCGCACGGGUGAGUAACACGUAGGUAAUCUGCCUUUAGGACUGACAUAACUCCGCGAAAGCGGAGCUAAUUUCAGAUGAUGCAGCGGCUCGACAUCGAGACAGUUGUUAAACCUUCGGGGCCUAAAGAUGAGCCUGCGUCUGAUUAGGUAGUUGGCGGAGUAAUAGCCCACCAAGCCAUCGAUCAGUAGCUGGUCUGAGAGGAUGAUCAGCCACACUGGAACUGAGACACGGUCCAGACUCCUACGGGAGGCAGCAGUAGGGAAUUUUGGACAAUGGGGGCAACCCUGAUCCAGCCAUGCCGCGUGAGUGAAGAAGG